Molecule: non-coding RNA, 102 nt
Organism: Fusarium irregulare
Lineage: Eukaryota; Fungi; Ascomycota; Sordariomycetes; Hypocreales; Nectriaceae
Source: the annotation of a GenBank genome assembly
GGGGAGCUGGCGCAACGGUAGCGCGUCAGAUUCCAGUGCACUGCUUACCCAGCAGUUGUAGGAGAUUCCUGAAGGCUAUCGGUUCAAAUCCGGUGUUCCUCA